Salvia splendens (bonfire salvia) is the source of this 584-nucleotide long non-coding RNA. RefSeq lists it as uncharacterized. The transcript has 2 exons. Lineage: Eukaryota; Viridiplantae; Streptophyta; Magnoliopsida; Lamiales; Lamiaceae. The record is from RefSeq and is a predicted model, not a curated record.
GAGACGGUCGCGAGCUGGAGACGAGAUGGGCGCUGCAAUGCGUCUCGCGGGGGUCUCGUCUCUCUGAGACGAGACACGAGCCCGGCGCGAGACACGUUGUGGAUGGUCUAAUUCUCACAAUUCGUCAACAACUCAGUGUAUCAAGGCGGCUCUCCCAAUUCAAUUCGUCACCGCCUAUCGGAAACCUCAUCCCCCAAUUCUCACCGCCUCCCCCAAUUCUCGUCUGCAAUAGGUGAUUCAUCUCUGCUCGAGGACGCUUCAUUUCCAGCGGUUUUUCCUCUCACUGACUUCGUUUUCCUCUCAAUUGAGAUCGAGGUCUUGGAAGAGAUUUCACAUUAUCCAGAGACAGUGGGUGCUAAAUUGAAGGGAACUGCAGGAGGUAUAAUGUUUCUUUCAAAUUGAUGAAUCAAUUUUCUUGAUUUGUAUUUAUUCUAGGCAAAUAGUGUUAGUGAUUAUCUUCUGAUAGGAUUUGUAAGGUGGUGGUGAGUUUGGUUGCUUUGAAUUUUACAUAGUAAAAUAGAGAAGUGACAUGGGAAGAGGCACAAAAGUGAUACAGUGGUUUCUGAAUUCUGAUGGAUUGCGUA